CAGAGUUCAUGCCCUCACGGGUAGAUCUCCCACCCUUGUGUAUUUUAUACCUUUGUUGCUUUGGCAGGCCGCCUGGGCUCGCGCCUGGCCACCGGCUCCCGGGCUGGUGCGUGCCUGCCAGAGGAUCUCCAAACUCUAGUUAUCAGUGUUGUCUGAGUAUUAUACAAUCGUUA
This 173-nucleotide unclassified non-coding RNA is filed under the name uncultured fungus. RNAcentral describes it as "sequence contains ITS1, 5.8S rRNA gene". Lineage: Eukaryota; Fungi. The record is from RNAcentral.